RNAcentral lists this unclassified non-coding RNA (305 nucleotides) under uncultured fungus. RNAcentral describes it as "partial contains small subunit ribosomal RNA, internal transcribed spacer 1, and 5.8S ribosomal RNA". The stretch from base 1 to 73 matches the Rfam family "Eukaryotic small subunit ribosomal RNA", at positions 1759 to 1831 of the family's 1831-position model. The record is from RNAcentral. Lineage: Eukaryota; Fungi.
GCAAACUUGGUCAUUUAGAGGAAGUAAAAGUCGUAACAAGGUCUCCGUUGGUGAACCAGCGGAGGGAUCAUUACCAGAGUUCUCGCAACUCCCAACCCUUCUGUGAACAUACCUAUAGUUGCUUCGGCGGACUCGCCCCAGCGUCCGGACGGCCCUGCGCCGGCCCGCGACCUGGAACCAGGCGGCCGCCGGGGACCCCAAACCCUGUAUCUCAUCAGCAUCUCUGAAUCCGCCGCAAGGCAACCAAACGAAUCAAAACUUUCAACAACGGAUCUCUUGGUUCUGGCAUCGAUGAAGAACGCAGC